This 1276-nucleotide ribosomal RNA is filed under the name Dermea piceina. RNAcentral describes it as "LSU rRNA". It matches the Rfam family "Eukaryotic large subunit ribosomal RNA", at positions 67 to 1888 of the family's 3401-position model. The record is from RNAcentral. Lineage: Eukaryota; Fungi; Ascomycota; Leotiomycetes; Helotiales; Dermateaceae.
AACAGGGAUUACCUCAGUAACGGCGAGUGAAGCGGUAACAGCUCAAAUUUGAAAUCUGGGUCUUUUAGGCCCCGAGUUGUAAUUUGUAGAAGAUGCUUCGGGUGCAACUCCGGUCUAAGUUCCUUGGAACAGGACGUCACAGAGGGUGAGAAUCCCGUAUGUGAUCGGUGGCUUGUGCCUGUGUGAAGCUCUUUCAACGAGUCGAGUUGUUUGGGAAUGCAGCUCAAAAUGGGUGGUAAAUUUCAUCUAAAGCUAAAUAUUGGCCAGAGACCGAUAGCGCACAAGUAGAGUGAUCGAAAGAUGAAAAGCACUUUGGAAAGAGAGUUAAACAGUACGUGAAAUUGUUGAAAGGGAAGCGCUUGCAACCAGACUUGCGCGUUGUCGAUCAUCUUGGGUUCUCCCUAGUGCACUCGACCUCGCUCAGGCCAGCAUCGGUUUUGGUGGUUGGAUAAAGGCCGUGGGAAUGUAGCUUCUUUCGGGGAGUGUUAUAGCCCACGGUGCAAUGCAGCCUACUAGGACCGAGGACCGCGCUUCGGCUAGGAUGCUGGCGUAAUGGUUGUAAGCGGCCCGUCUUGAAACACGGACCAAGGAGUCUAACAUCUAUGCGAGUGUUUGGGUGCUAAACCCAUCCGCGUAAUGAAAGUGAACGGAGGUGAGAACCCUCUAGGGUGCAUCAUCGACCGAUCCUGAUGUCUUCGGAUGGAUUUGAGUAAGAGCAUAGCUGUUGGGACCCGAAAGAUGGUGAACUAUGCCUGAAUAGGGUGAAGCCAGAGGAAACUCUGGUGGAGGCUCGCAGCGGUUCUGACGUGCAAAUCGAUCGUCAAAUUUGGGUAUAGGGGCGAAAGACUAAUCGAACCAUCCACCUUCUAGGUGGUUAAGAGGUGGCUCAGAGUGUCCACCUAGUCCUAGAGCCGAGGGCGACACUGUCCAAUUGUUCGGGGAUGUCCUGUUAACUGCUAAGCUACCGCAGCCUGCUCGAAAGAGGGGUGCGCACCGGGGUAACGACCUAGGGGAUGGUAACAACGCUUAGCUAGGGAUAAUCCGCAGCCAAGUCCUAAGGGCGCACGCCUAUGGAUGCAGUUCACAGACUAAAUGGCAGUGGGUCUAACGUACCGCGUACGUUAGGCUUAAGUUAUAGUCGAGCCGCUGGGAGACCAGUUAGGGGGGGGGGGGGGUAGGAAGAAGAGGGUAGGGGGCUCUUAUAUACCCUAUCCUCUGGAGCCUGUCUAGGGGACGCUCGCGUCUCCGGGGUGCGCGCAGCUGAGCCUGCGCGCCC